GAUGAACGCUGGCGGCGUGCUUAACACAUGCAAGUCGAACGAGAAGUGAAGACGGAAACCUUCUGGCGGAAGGCUUUAUUUCGAGUGGCGGCCGGGUUAGUCACGCGUGGGUAACCUGCCUCAUACAGGGGGAUAACAGUUGGAAACGACUGUUACUACCGCUUAAGACCACAGCACCGCAUGGUGCGGGGGUAAAAACUCCGGUGGUAUGAGAUGGACCCGCGUUCGAUUAGCCAGUUGGCGGGGGAACGGCCCACCAAAGCGACGAUCGAUAGCCGAUCUGAGAGCAGGCCCGGCCAGAUUGGGACUGAGGCACGGCCCAAACUCCGACGGGAGGCAGCAGUGGGGAAUAUUGCGCGAUGGGGGAAAACCUGAUGAAGCGGCGCGGCGUGAGUGAAGAAGUAGGUCGGUAUGUAAAGCUCUAUCAGAAGGGAAGAAAAUGACGGUACCUGAGAAAGAAGCCCCGGCUAACUACGUG
This 478-nucleotide ribosomal RNA is filed under the name uncultured bacterium. RNAcentral describes it as "partial 16S ribosomal RNA". It matches the Rfam family "Bacterial small subunit ribosomal RNA", at positions 28 to 507 of the family's 1533-position model. The record is from RNAcentral.